AAUUUUGUAGUUUAAAUAAAACAACAAAUUGCAAGUUUGUUAAUGUUCCUAAAGACCCAAAAUUA
This 65-nucleotide transfer RNA is filed under the name Laemobothrion maximum. RNAcentral's name for it is "tRNA-Cys". Lineage: Eukaryota; Metazoa; Arthropoda; Insecta; Psocodea; Laemobothriidae. The record is from RNAcentral.